Molecule: ribosomal RNA, 774 nt
Filed under: uncultured fungus
Lineage: Eukaryota; Fungi
Description: eukaryotic LSU rRNA
Rfam family: 5.8S ribosomal RNA (bases 417-567)
Source: RNAcentral
CGCCCCUUCUUGGUCAUUUAGAGGAAGUAAAAGUCGUAACAAGGUUUCCUAGGUCGCUACAGUUCAGCCUACUAAAGCAAACCUUUUAAAACUGCUAGCUCUCUCCGAGGCGACACGCUCAAUGUUGCGGAGAGGCCCUCUUUUCAGGGGUAAUCCGCAGCCGGCUCCCUAAAGGCUGGUUCAGAGACUCAAUGAGGUGGGUUUGGCCUUUUGGCCAGGCUUAAGAUAGAGCCCGUCCCUGUAGGAACUGCGGGGGAUGAACGGAACCUGCGGAAGGAUCAUUAAAGAAUCGGUACCCUCGCGGUCCCAUUCUCACCCUUUGUAUACCAAACUUCAGUUGCUUGGCUGGCCUUCGCGGGCCGGCCAGAGGACUCAAACCCUUGAAUCUUUGCGUCUGAGUACUAUAUAAUAGUUAAAACUUUCAACAACGGAUCUCUUGGUCUGGCAUCGAUGAAGAACGCAGCGAAAUGCGAUAAGUAAUGUGAAUUGCGAAUUCAGUGAAUCAUCGAAUCUUUGAACGCACAUUGCGCCCUCUGGUAUCCGGGGGGCAUGCCUGUUCGAGCGUCAUUACAACCCUCAAGCUCAGCUGGUAUUGGGCUCGCCCUUCGUAGGCCUGCCUCAAAAUCAGUGGCGGCUCGUCCAGUCUCAAGCGCAGUAAUACUCGUCGCUUGUUAGGCUUGGUCAGCGUUUGCUAGCAACCCCCCCAAUUUUACAAGGUUGACCUCGGAUCAGGUAGGAUACCCGCUGAACUUAAGCAUAUCAAUAAGCGGAGGA